GUUAGGAAUAUUGGACAAUGGGCGCAAGCCUGAUCCAGCCAUGCCGCGUGAGUGAUGAAGGCCUUCGGGUUGUAAAGCUCUUUAGCCGAUGAUUAUAAUGACUGUAGUCGGAAAAUAAGCCCCGGCUAACUUCGUGCCAGCAGCCGCGGUAAUACGAAGGGGGCGAGCGUUAUUCGGAAUCACUGGGCGUAAAGCGUGCGUAGGCGGCUUUGCAAGUUGGGAGUGAAAGCCCAGGGCUCAACCCUGGAAUUGCUCUCAAAACUGCAAGGCUCGAAUUCGGGAGAGGAUAGCGGAAUUGUCAGUGUAGCAGUGAAAUGCGUAGAUAUUGACAGGAACACCAGUGGUGUAAGCGGCUAUCUGGACCGAUAUUGACGCUGAGGCACGAAAGCGUGGGGAUCAAACAGGAUUAGAAACCCGUGUAGUCC
Molecule: ribosomal RNA, 425 nt
Filed under: uncultured bacterium
Lineage: Bacteria
Description: partial 16S ribosomal RNA
Rfam family: Bacterial small subunit ribosomal RNA
Source: RNAcentral